GAUGAACGCUGGCGGCGUGCCUAAUACAUGCAAGUCGAGCGAACGGACGAGAAGCUUGCUUUUCUGAUGUUAGCGGCGGACGGGUGAGUAACACGUGGAUACCUACCUAUAAGACUGGGAUAACUUCGGGAAACCGGAGCUAAUACCGGAUAAUAUUUUGAACCGCAUGGUUCAAAAGUGAAAGACGGUCUUGCUGGCACUUAUAGAUGGAUCCGCGCUGCAUUAGCUAGUUGGUAAGGUAACGGCUUACCAAGGCAACGAUGCAUAGCCGACCUGAGAGGGUGAUCGGCCACACUGGAACUGAGACACGGUCCAGACUCCUACGGGAGGCAGCAGUAGGGAAUCUUCCGCAAUGGGCGAAAGCCUGACGGAGCAACGCCGCGUGAGUGAUGAAGGUCUUCGGAUCGUAAAACUCUGUUAUUAGGGAAGAACAUAUGUGUAAGUAACUGUGCACAUCUUGACGGUACCUAAUCAGAAAGCCACGGCUAACUACGUG
RNAcentral lists this ribosomal RNA (496 nucleotides) under uncultured bacterium. RNAcentral describes it as "partial 16S ribosomal RNA". It matches the Rfam family "Bacterial small subunit ribosomal RNA", at positions 28 to 507 of the family's 1533-position model. The record is from RNAcentral.